CAAUAGCGUAUAUUUAAGUUGUUGCAGUUAAAAAGCUCGUAGUCGGAUUUUGGCUGAGAACGAUCGGUCCGCCGUUAGGUGUGCACUGAUUGGUCUCAGCUUCCUGGUGAGGAGGUGUGCUUCACGGCCACUUAGUCACCGUGGUUACUUUGAAAAAAUUAGAGUGUCCAAAGCGGGCUUACGCUUGAAUAUAUUAGCAUGGAAUAACACCAUAGGACUCCUGUCCUAUUUCGUUGGUCUCGGGACGGGAGUAAUGAUUAAGAGGAACAGUUGGGGGCAUUCGUAUUUCAUUGUCAGAGGUGAAAUUCUUGGAUUUAUGAAAGACGAACUUCUGCGAAAGCAUUUGCCAAGGAUGUUUUCAUUGA
This 365-nucleotide ribosomal RNA is filed under the name uncultured eukaryote. RNAcentral describes it as "partial 18S ribosomal RNA". It matches the Rfam family "Eukaryotic small subunit ribosomal RNA", at positions 592 to 976 of the family's 1831-position model. The record is from RNAcentral.